UCUGUGAUGUUUAGGUGAUUUUCAGCGGUAAUAGAGGCGCAGAAAAAAAGGUACAGCCGCACUCUGCAAGCGCUAGUAAAAAGUGCAAACGCACUCUAGAGGUGCCGGUAAAGAGUGUCGCACAUCUAUAAGCGCCAAUAAAAAGAUGCAAUCACACAUCCACCAGAACUGAUAAAAAGUUACAGUCGCACAUCUACAGAUGCUGAUAAAAAAAGAUCGUUUUAUUCUGUUUUUCUGUGCACGUUCUGAAAUCUGUCCGGAGAAGACGAGUCAAACCGACUUCGAGCUGUUUUUUGAGCCGAACCUGAGCUAUUUUAGAGCUGAACCCGAGCCUUUUAGAGCCGAGCUGAGUUGUUUUGAGCCUGAUCGAGCUGUUUUGAGUCGGACCAAGCCGUUUUGAACCGGGACGAGCCAUUUUGAGGCAGGGCGAGCUGUUUUGAGCCAGGACGAGCCAUCUUGAGCUGAGUCGAGCCGUUUUAGCCGAAUUGAGCGCGCGUACACCUCUAGUAGAUUGCAUAAUGACUUUUCAUAACUUACUUUACAAGUUGGGCAUGUACAAUAUCCCUGCACCAAUUUGAGGAAGGGGGUGUUGAAUACCAUAUUUUUUUAUUUUAUUGUUUAAUCAGUUAAUUAUUUAAUUAUUUAGUAUUAUAUAAUUAGAAUUUUAUGAGAAUAAUGAUCUCAUAUUAUUAGAAUUAUAGUAAAAUAAGAAUUUUCUUAUUAAUAGAUUAGAAAUUAUAUAAAUACCCUAAGUGUUACAACUUAAAUGGUGAGAAAUAAAUUUUUUUUUUUUUUUUUCCAAAAAUCAACAUUUACUCAUAUCAAUUUUUGGCUCCCCAUGCUAAUAGAUUUCUAAAUAGUAUAAUGAUCUUAUAGUUGUAGGUUUGGAUGCCACUUUUUCCUCAUUUAACCCAUGCUAGGUUUGCUCCUGAAACUUGUAAACUUUCAUCUUUAUACAGUUGUCUGGUUUUGGGAGGGAGUAAGCAAUAUUCCACACUUUGGAAGGGCCUAUUUUCCUAGUCUUUGGUGGAGAUGCAAAAGUUUCAAAUCCGCAGUCUUGGUUUAUGAAGAACAUUCCACAUUGUUUCUUUAAGGAAUCCUUCUUUCUACACUAAAAAUGGAUUGAGUUCCAAUCUUAUUGUGAGACUUCCAUUUUAUCGGUUUUCAAUGUUUUUCUGCACGUUCUUCCUACACCACUCACUCGUCUCUUCCAUCUUGUAUAGCUUAUCCUCCUCUAAAUUGUAUUUUUCAUUUCUUAAUUUGAUAUUUUCUUCUUCUAUCAAAAACUGAUAAUCUGGAAAAAAGACACCACAAAACACACUUUUGUGAUUAGUGACCUCGUGGAAACUUCAGAAGUAACACUACUUGAAUGGGUUGAAAUAGCAUCUGAAAAACCGUGCUCCUUAAAAUUGCAUAAGCUAGUCUUCUCAAAAAAUAAAUAAAUAAAUAAAAAUGCAUAAGCUAGUGAAAUUGCGCUUGUCCGACCACAUGAACAAAGACAUAUCAUCAAAUCGCACCUUCAAGAAACACAACAAGGUUUCUCUUCCCUCUAAUUAUACUUAAUCCCAUGAACCCUUCAAAGUUACUUUCUAGCAUCAACAUCAAUUCUAAAGACACAAACUCACCAAACCCUAAACCUAAACUUGGUUACCCACCGGAAGUAUAUCGUUCGAAAUACUAACAAAAAGCCUGUAAACUCCUUUGAAACGGAGAAAAGCGAGCUCACUGAUGCAAAAUUUACUACCGAAUGGAAACAGUUAGACUCAUUGAUAUAAAGAAGAAUCAUAAAUUCGAUUUCUCAGUAAGCACAUAGCGAAAUGGAUAUUGAAAUGAAUUAAAUUGGCAGCAUCUCCCAAUUACAGAUAACAGAAGCUGGUGAAACCUAAUGAAUAUACGGUUGCGGAGACCAGAAAGGUUACCAUUGAUAAUGAUGAGAGAUAUCUCGUCGAACUCCUGCAAGGCCGAGGAAAGAAAGAAGAUUUGCACGCAGAGACAGAAUUUCUUCUUCGUUUCUUCUAAGAAGGCAGAGAAUCUGCGUGCAGACUAUUUAAGGCAUAGCGUUGAUGAAACGCGAUUUAUUUAUUUAUUUAAUAAUAAUUUGUAAAAAGUAAAUAAAUAUCUACCUUUUUUU
Molecule: long non-coding RNA, 2131 nt
Filed under: Carica papaya (papaya)
Lineage: Eukaryota; Viridiplantae; Streptophyta; Magnoliopsida; Brassicales; Caricaceae
Description: long non-coding RNA (CPAP_LNC011354)
Source: RNAcentral